Molecule: small RNA, 76 nt
Filed under: Xanthomonas codiaei
Lineage: Bacteria; Pseudomonadati; Pseudomonadota; Gammaproteobacteria; Lysobacterales; Lysobacteraceae
Description: sX9 sRNA
Rfam family: Xanthomonas sRNA sX9
Source: RNAcentral
AUGUACCACGCGUACACUGCGGUUCCUCCACGCCAUCCGCAUCCACCCGACGACCGCUCGCUACGGUUUGUUGGCC